CAAAAAUUGUUACAUGAAAAGGCAGCAAUACCUGCUGCUCUGAGUCUUUAUCGUAUAUUUAUCAGUUCCUUACACUUAAAAUAUGGUUUAAUCUCUUUCUAUUCGAGGUCAAAAGUGAGACUUAUAUUGCCAUUUUCUAUUAAAUGAUCAUUAAAUGUAAGUCCUAAAUACACAAUCCGUGAAAAGGAGAAACCAUAAAUAAACCGACAAUCAUAAAAAAAAAAAAACUCAAUGCAAGCUCAUAAUGUAAAUUUUUGAAAAAAAAACACACUUAGAAAACAAUUUACCGACAAUCAUAGAAAAAAAACUUAAUACAAGCCCAAUUAAUAAUGAACACAAUAAGUAUUCAAUUUUUAAUGAUCUAUACAAAUUAUGAAUAUAAGACGAAGUCGAUCAUGAUUAACGAUAAACAAACAAAUUAAUUAUUUUUUUCUACACAUUAAUUAAUUUUAUAUAUUUUGUAAAUAGUAUUUUCGGAAAUAGUGUGGACACCUGUGGUGUAACAACUUCUUGUGUACCAGGUGUCAAAUAAAACUCUUCAGUUUUAACAGGUUGUGAUUUACCUGACCAUCGAAUAAUUCAAGCCUAAUAUACAUGUUACACUGUGAAAUUAUGUCUCCGAGACAGGUGUAUAUUUAAUAGAAACCCAUUGUGAAAGUAUCAAAUAAAAUGAACUCUGAUACAAUUUAUUAAGUGUUAAUUAUUUAAUAUUGUUUUUUUUUAAUUCAAUAUCAAAUUAUGUCU
Molecule: long non-coding RNA, 744 nt
Filed under: Mytilus galloprovincialis (Mediterranean mussel)
Lineage: Eukaryota; Metazoa; Mollusca; Bivalvia; Mytilida; Mytilidae
Source: RNAcentral